This 595-nucleotide long non-coding RNA is filed under the name Homo sapiens (human). Its description in RNAcentral is "HSALNT0240629". The record is from RNAcentral. Lineage: Eukaryota; Metazoa; Chordata; Mammalia; Primates; Hominidae.
GUCCCAGGUUCAAUGGCUGAGGCUGUUGCAAGGCUCUAGCUGUCACUCAGAGCAGCCAGGGAGCCAGCAGAGGGUCCUAGCCAGAAGUGGGUUCAGCUGCGGCUCAGGUGUUAACAGGCCACACCACACCAGCAGGGAGGAGAGGGGGGCCAGCUGGCUGGUCCAGCUCCCCUGGGGCUAAAGCUGAAUGCAGAUCUGCUGACCCUGAUCUACAGCUUGCGGAAGCUCUGCCUGUGUGCCCCCAUCUGCUGCUUCCUAGGGUUGGGGCCUGCUUCCUCAAAAGGAGAGUGGAUCUGUUCUCCUGCCAGCCCCCCACAGGGCCUUGUGGAGCCCUGGCCAUGUCCUCCCAAGAUCACAGGAUGGAAGCCAGCAGUCCAAUAGGCGUGCCACUCAAGCCAGCAGUGACCUGCAGCUUCUGCUUCCUGGAGAGUGGGGUGCCCACCCAAGAGAGCACAAGCACACCCCACACCCCUGACCUUGAGGGCACUGGGAGGUGGGGGCACUGUACUGGGACCAAGUCCCGGCAGCCUUGUGCGUGUGCCCUGGAAGGUAGCCUAGGAGUCCUGCGUGUGCCUCUCUGCACAGCAGGGAGGGG